CCUACGGGUGGCAGCAGUGAGGAAUAUUGGUCAAUGGCCGAGAGGCUGAACCAGCCAAGUCGCGUGAGGGAAGACGGCCCUACGGGUUGUAAACCUCUUUUGUCGGGGAGCAAAGCGAACCACGUGUGGUUCAUUGAGAGUACCCGAAGAAAAAGCAUCGGCUAACUCCGUGCCAGCAGCCGCGGUAAUACGGAGGAUGCGAGCGUUAUCCGGAUUCAUUGGGUUUAAAGGGUGCGCAGGCGGGCCUUUAAGCCGGCGGUGAAAUCGCGGGGCUCAACCCCGCCGAGCCGUUGGAACUGGGGGCCUUGAGUGCGGCGGAGGCAUGCGGAAUGCGCGGUGUAGCGGUGAAAUGCAUAGAUAUCGCGCAGAACCCCGAUUGCGAAGGCAGCGGGCCGUGCCGCCACUGACGCUGAGGCACGAAAGCGCGGGGAUCGAACAGGAUUAGAUACCCGGGUAGUC
Molecule: ribosomal RNA, 459 nt
Filed under: uncultured bacterium
Lineage: Bacteria
Description: partial 16S ribosomal RNA
Rfam family: Bacterial small subunit ribosomal RNA
Source: RNAcentral